Molecule: non-coding RNA, 634 nt
Organism: Danio rerio (zebrafish)
Lineage: Eukaryota; Metazoa; Chordata; Actinopteri; Cypriniformes; Danionidae
Gene: castor1
Product: cytosolic arginine sensor for mTORC1 subunit 1
Source: Ensembl
AUGCAAAUUUUUCAGUCUCACAGAGACUCCUGAAAAUUACACUGUUGUCCUCGACGAGGAGGGAUUUAAAGAGCUGCACCCGUCUGAGCACUUACAGGUGGAGGGCUCCACGUGGCUCCCGCUCAAUGUGGUCUCGAAUGGCAAUGCUUCCAGCAGCUCGCAGGCUGUGGGCGUCACUAAAAUUGCCAAGUCCGUCAUCGCUCCUCUGGCAGAGCAGCACGUGUCCGUCUUUAUGCUCUCCACCUAUCAGACUGACUUCAUUCUGGUGAGAGAAAGAGAUAAACUGAUGCUCAGAUAUGUAACAUUUUAAGGGGAUAGUUCACACAGUAAUGAAAAUAUACUUUUUUUUUUUACCCUGAAGUGAUUCCAAAACAUUGAGCUUUCUUUUUCUGUUGAACACAAAAGAUAUUUUGAAUAAUGCUAGAAAUCAGUAGCCAUCAUAGUAUGACAGAUAAAAUACUAAAGUAGUCAAUGGUUACAGGUUUUCAACAUUCUUUAAAUAGCUUCUUUUGUGUUUAACAAAAAAAAAAAAAGAAACUCAAUGUUAACUUUGGAACAAGUGAAGAGCAAGCAAAUGAUUACAGAGAAUUGAGAAUAGUUUGCUCAUGAUUAGGCCCACACGGAAUCUGCGCGC